GGAGCCAGGCUGCCCGGUUUGUAGCCCUGCUUGACCUGUGUGAUCUGAGAAUAAUCUUGUUUAAUCUCCACAAGUUUGAGGACUAAACUGGGUGCCAGAGAGAAUUAAGUAACUUGUCAAGGUUGCAUCAGUAACAGGGGAGCAGGGAAGAGAUUCAAGCUCAGAUGGAGUCUCACACUGUCACCCGGGCUGGAGUGCAGUGGCGUGAUCUUGGCUCACCUCCCAGGUUCAAGCGAUUCUCUUGCCUCAGCCUCCUGAGUAGCUGGGAUUCCAGGGAGCCUGGUUGGACUUCAGGCCCCUGUGAGGCUGACUCUGUAGUCCUGGAGAAACUCAACAGCCAGGAACUUAGGACCAUUUGUGUGUGGCAACCAUUUGUGUGGGCUAACCAGAUUGGUGGCUUCUAAAGAAGAUGGAAAGCAUCACGUUUCCUGUAUUUAAAUUAUUUGGCGAUCUCAAUACUGGUUGUUAGCCAAAGUACACAAUGGAGACAGCCUAUUUGCUCUACUACUUUUGAUGUAGAAAUAUUACUAAACUUGAGCUGAUUAAUAGAACUGUUACACAUUUCUGUGCUCCCCUUACCGGUGGCAUGAAACAAUUCUUUUAAAACCUGCCAUGUGUUCACAUUUAAAACUAAAAGUAAUUUAGAUUACAUGGAUUUGAGAAGCCCAUGUUGACAUGUAAUUGCCAACAGAUGGGCUUUCAAAUGUAAUGAAGUGAAAAUGGUCAGUACCCCAUGUGUUGGAUUUUGCAAUUUUCCAAAGUAAGCCCUCAUUUUUGGCAUGUCAUGCUAGUUAAGAACACAAUGUAUUUAUAGCUCAAUUAUACAUUUUCUGAUGAAUUUGGCAUGGCAUUUUGUUUUUCCAUCAGUCACUUAAGACAGGACAUUUGCCAUUCCAAGAAUGAAUUAGCACUCUUCUAAGUGAUCUAUAAACUGAGAUGUAAAAUAAAUUACAAAUUGGGACUGUUUUAGUUUUUCAAGCAAAGGGUAUUUAAAUAAAGCUUGAAAUCAUAAACCUUAUUUCCUGUUUGAGAAGAUGGUGUAUUCAUUACAGAGUGAAAUAAAGGAUUUUAAUGUUUUUUUUUUUUUCCGGCAA
This 1094-nucleotide non-coding RNA is filed under the name Pongo abelii (Sumatran orangutan). The record is from RNAcentral. Lineage: Eukaryota; Metazoa; Chordata; Mammalia; Primates; Hominidae.